This 492-nucleotide ribosomal RNA is filed under the name uncultured bacterium. Its description in RNAcentral is "partial 16S ribosomal RNA". It matches the Rfam family "Bacterial small subunit ribosomal RNA", at positions 29 to 507 of the family's 1533-position model. The record is from RNAcentral.
AGUGAACGCUGGCGGUAGGCCUAACACAUGCAAGUCGAACGGCAGCACAGUAAGAGCUUGCUCUUACGGGUGGCGAGUGGCGGACGGGAGAGGAAUACAUCGGAAUCUACUUUUUCGUGGGGGAUAACGUAGGGAAACUUACGCUAAUACCGCAUACGACCUACGGGUGAAAGCAGGGGAUCUUCGGACCUUGCGCGAAUGAAUGAGCCGAUGUCGGAUUAGCUAGUUGGCGGGGUAAAGGCCCACCAAGGCGACGAUCCGUAGCUGGUCUGAGAGGAUGAUCAGCCACACUGGAACUGAGACACGCUCCAGACUCCUACGGGAGGCAGCAGAGGGGAAUAUUGGACAAUGGGCGCAAGCCUGACCCAAUCAUACCACGUGGGUGAAGAAGGCGUUGCGGUUGUAAAGCCCUUUUGUGGGGAAAGAAAAGCAGCAGGUUGAUACGACGCUGUUCUGACGGUACCCAAAGAAUAAGCACCGGCUAACUUCGUG